Molecule: ribosomal RNA, 309 nt
Filed under: uncultured bacterium
Lineage: Bacteria
Description: bacterial SSU rRNA
Rfam family: Bacterial small subunit ribosomal RNA
Source: RNAcentral
GACGAACGCUGGCGGCGCGCCUAACACAUGCAAGUCGAACGGAGCAUUUGAGCUUGCUUAAAUGCUUAGUGGCGAACGGGUGAGUAACGCGUGAGCAAUCUGCCUCAGAGUGGGGGACAACAGUUGGAAACGACUGCUAAUACCGCAUAAGCCCACAGAUCCGCAUGGAUCAGCGGGAAAAGAUUUAUUGCUUUGACGAUGAGCUCGCGUCUGAUUAGCUAGUUGGUGAGGUAACGGCCCACCAAGGCGACGAUCAGUAGCCGGACUGAGAGGUUGAACGGCCACAUUGGGACUGAGACACGGGCCCAG